GCACCAUUAGCUCAGGCCGGAUAGAGCAUCGGUCUUCGGAACCGAGUGUCAGGGGUUCGAAUCCUCUAUGGUGCGCCA
RNAcentral lists this transfer RNA (78 nucleotides) under Candidatus Hippobium faecium. Its description in RNAcentral is "tRNA-Arg". It matches the Rfam family "tRNA". From Rfam's summary of the family: Transfer RNA (tRNA) molecules are approximately 80 nucleotides in length. Their secondary structure includes four short double-helical elements and three loops (D, anti-codon, and T loops). The record is from RNAcentral. Lineage: Bacteria; Bacillati; Armatimonadota.